Zophobas morio is the source of this 252-nucleotide long non-coding RNA. RefSeq lists it as uncharacterized. The record is from RefSeq and is a predicted model, not a curated record. The transcript has 4 exons. Lineage: Eukaryota; Metazoa; Arthropoda; Insecta; Coleoptera; Tenebrionidae.
CAGCGAUGAAAGUUUAGAAAAACGCUACGAAGUGCUAAAAGCCAAAAUGAAUCUAUAUGAUACUUCCGAAGAAAUUCAUUGUGAUUCAAUAAAACGAAGUAAAGGUUCUUUUCAAGAAAACUUAAGUUUAGAUAAUUGUGCCUCGCUGGACAUACCAAGUUUUAAAGACCAUCAAUCUUGUCCUCCCCUGAAAGAAAUAAUUGUUACUAAACUGAAGCAGAAAUAUGAUUAUAAUCUACAACUAGACGAGAU